Molecule: long non-coding RNA, 6621 nt
Organism: Tribolium castaneum (red flour beetle)
Lineage: Eukaryota; Metazoa; Arthropoda; Insecta; Coleoptera; Tenebrionidae
Exons: 5
Source: RefSeq, a predicted model, not a curated record
AGGUUACAUUUUAAAGGUUAAUUUGGCGCACGAAUCCCAAGUCAGAAAGCGAGCCGCUAGCGAGAAGAGUUUGCGCUUAUCGCACCACUUAUCACUGAUUUUUUUCCCUAAUCGGGACAACAAAGCACAUUUGUUGGAUAUUAUCGCAAAUUACGUAAUCCUACCAGCUGUUCGAUAAACUUGCCGAAAGUGCGCCAGGGCACAACCCGGCAACGCCGCCCUACAGUGUGGCCAAGUUGCGUUUUUGAAAAUUGGUCCCAAAAUCGAAUCAAAUUAUACAAACCAGGCGUUCUUCGCCCGAUAACGAGGGGCAACAGCUGGGCGAGCACGUCUUUUCCAGUCCCCGACCUUAGGGUUAGGGUCGUACUGCAAGCGCCUAACUUCGACUUUGGGUUUUUCAUUUUUAACGUCCGAAUCUCGUACUUUGGGGUACCCGAACUUCUUCUCCUCACUUUUGGUUAGAGGAUUUUCCAUGUUAUGAGAAAACGAACCGAUCUUUAGCACUUAUUUUCUCGCAUUGUGACUAUGACAUUUGUUUUGGAAAAAAAGACAAGUACGAAACGUCACUUGAUUUAUUGUUGCCAAGUUCCGGUUGUUUUUCCCGGAAAUUUUCAUUUCCCCGGAUUUGGGACCGGGUUAGGGUUUUUGCGUGCGACCGUUGGCAGCGGUUUGAACUAACCCUUGUUCUGUGGUUGACAGUUGACACCUUGUAGCAGCGUGUGAGCGUCGUGAGCGUGUUGUGCAUCGAUUAACAGGCAGUUUGUUUAUUAUGGAGGAUAAUCCGGCGAAACGUUUAAAAUCUACCCUUUCACCGGUUUUUGAAGAUGUCUUGAAAUCCGAUACUUUUGUUGAUAAAAGUGCGUUGAUGUUAGCAGUUUUUGAAACGGACGAUAAACCUAUGGUAUUGUGUACCGCACCGCGCCGAUUUGGCAAAACUGUAAACUUAUCCAUGAUGCAACGAUUCUUGGAGUUGGAAGUAGAUGAAAAUGGAGAGGAGAAAACAAAGGUUUUGAAAGAAAAAGACAAUUACAAACUGUUCAGUUCAGCAAGGUUCAAGUUAAAAGUCAUGGAGAAUACGAAGUUUGUAGAAACUCAUUUCGGACAAUAUCCGAUAAUCGAAAUAAAUUUUCUCUGUUGUGAUGACGUGACAAGCAAAUCUGAUGCAGUGAAUGUGUGUAGAAGCGCUAUAUCGGAAGCUUUUAGGCAACACAGUUACCUUUACGAAUCCAAAUUGUCACCGUUGAAAGACUAUGAAAAAAAGCAUUGCGAACAAUGGUGUGACGAAUUUACCUACACAGGAAUUCCAGAUGACAAAGUAAUCAAGGGGUUGGGAUGCUUGGCAGCUUAUCUGAAUAAGUUUCAUAAAAGAAUGGUUUUUCUACUCGUUGACGAGUACGACUCGAUCAUUUCAAAAGCGUUGUAUAAAGUGAAGAACGCUGAUCCAGAGACUGAGCUUGAAGAGCUAGAGAAUGCUGCCUCAUUCCCAAUUGAAGUAAUUGGAUAUGCUCUAAAAAAAAUUCCUGGGAUCUUUAAAGGAGCGUAUAUUACCGGAAUUUUGGAUGUGGGUGGUGUAGCGAUUUCCACCCUAUUGGGUAAUGUAUUGCGACGGCAAUUCGGAACCAACAAUCUGUGCCAAGAUUUCUAUGGAUUCACUGAAGAUGAAGUUUGUACUCUAUUUAAUCGGUUUGCAGUAAAGAAGGAAUUGAGAGAAAAAGCGAAGGCUAAAUAUAAUGGGUAUUUAAAUGGCGCGAAACAAUGCCUAUAUAAUCCUCAAUCGAUUGUGCAGUUUUUGGGAAAUUUAUCUCUGGGAGAAGGUGCUUUAAAAAAUUAUUGGCAACAAUCUGGUUACAUUCACAAUAUGUAUAAUUUAUUUGAAGAGGACAGCGUGAGAAGGUUGUUGUAUGAACUUCUACAAGGUGUUAAAGAAGAUUUUCAAUUCACGUUAGAACCGUUACAAUUAAGAGAUCUGAAAUCUUUGCAUAACAUAUUAGUUAAUCGACAUUUGACUUGUGACAAAGAAAUAGUUGUUCGAUUUCUUGUAUCUCUAGGAUACUUAACAUAUUCAUUUGAUGAUCGCAAACUCCAAAUACCUAACGCUGAGCUAAUUGAUGAAAUUACGAAGCUGCUACGAGCUUAUUUUUUUGAAAGAUUUGGUAUUAACAGUAAAUUGGCUGAAGAUUGUUCAGCAUCAUUUUCUAAGCUAACCAUUCUCUGUGAUGAAGGUGAUUCAUUAGCAGAGUUCAAAGAAGAAUUAACAAAUUUUCAAAAUAGUAUAACCUGUCUACUUCAACGUUCAACACUUAUCGAUCCAUUGAAUGAGGCAACUUUACAGAGUAUAAUUACAUUGACAUGUAGUAAAGCAGGAUUUCUCUUCGGAAACGAAAUAACAAUUCCAAUUCAUAAAACCAAAGUUGAUAUAGUACUGUUUAAUGAUAAAUCUGGGAUAAUAAUGGAAUUAAAAUGUGGUCCAAAUACUGUACAAGACGCAUUUAAACAAAUCUUUCAAAAUCGGUACUACAAUGUUUUCACAAAUAAGAAGUAUUUUGAUGAACGUAAGAAAUCUCCUUCUCUUUCUUUUGUUAUGGCAAUGCAUGUGGAUUCUGACAAGAAAGGAUCUGUGAUGUGCCUGCGACGCGAGGAUGUUAUUCACGUUCUGGAUGAUCUGCAACUUGACGCUAGAAGAUCGCAUUGAGAUAGCUGUUAAUUCUAUGAGUGAACGUUUCAUUAACACUUGUUGCGAAAGAGCAAUUCUUGGCUCUUAACAUACCAGAGAAACCGGUUCAGUUUUUGUUUGAAAUUUUUGAAAUUUAAAGUAGCUAUUUUUAAGUUCAACGCGGCAUGUUAAUUUCAGUUUCGAUCAACUAAAUCUGUUCCAUUUCAUAUUUCAUAUUUAUAUAUAGUUAUAAUAAAACAUGAAUUACAAAGUUUAUAUUGUUUUAGUAGAAAUGCAAAGACUCCUUUUUGAUAUUGGACUUUAAUAAUUGGAAGCCGGUCUGAUGGGUUUUAACGGUUCAGUUACCCAAACCAGCUUGAUCAGGAAAUGAAAUCCACAAUAUUUCGGGGUAUUCAGGAUUGAUGGUCGUGCCGAUGAUUCUCCUCGAUAGACACAUACCUAUAAACGGUAUAAGCUGUCGUGAAAGAGGAGAUGCUGUAAGAAUAGAUCGGAUUGUAGUCGGGGAAUGUUUUUCGUACGACUGUCCGAUUGUUUCUAGAGUGACAGUGUCGGGGUAGUCUUUAGCCAGUUGGGCCAAAUAAGCAUUAAUCUUUAAAACAAUAACUAAAAACGGGAGUUAUUUUUUCCAAGUGUUACCUCAGCGUGGCGUAAAUAUUGGUCAAAAGUAAUUUUUCCCAAACCUAAAGCUUGUCUCGAUUUGUGGUAGUGUUUUUCAGUCUGAAUGGCGGUUCCAACAUUUUCGAUUUCAAUGCUAAACUCAAGAUCGUUGAGCCCUCGUAUUUGGCACUAGACAAGCCCACGAGGGCUAGUACUAUCAAUACUGGCACUUUCAUUGCGAUAUCUACUGAGGUAUCGAGAGCAGAAUCUCUUUUAUAAACGUGGUGGAUAAACAACAGUCUAAUCUGCUGAUUCUUCGAUAAAAUUGAAUUGAAUUUGUCCUAAUUCUCUUUUAAUCCAGUGUUUUAACGGAUUACGUCUUCAAAUAUUUGUUUAGUGGUUAAAAAUCCAGCUUCAAUAGUUUAAUCCCGUGAUAUUUCAUCCUUGAGUGAUACAAGAAUUUUGUCUAUUAUUAUUAAUUUUUUGCCAUAAAUUGCGACUUCAUAAUUAAUUACCCGAUUUUAACAAAUUACUGAAUAAAAAAUUUCUCAAUUACUUUAUAUCGUACAUAUUUUUGAAUUAAUGGUCCGACUAAUGCCAUUCAAAUACUUUCGUGUUAAUUAUUAUUUAUUACUUCUUGUUAGUGUGAUUAUUUAAUAUAACGUUUGGGGCCCGUUUAUAAAAUGGUUUGUUAAGAUUUAAUUCGUUGUUAAAAGUUAACAACGCAAAUCAAAUCAAAUUUGCUAAUUUGUUAGUUGCAAAUUAACUUAAUGGCCCUUAGAUAUAUAUACAAAAAUAAAAGUGUCUCAGAUCAAUGCAAAGCGCAAACAACAUUCUUUUUAUCAAAACUAAAUUACUUACAUAAUGAAAUUUGUAAAUGGUUUCUAAUAAUCUUAAGCAAAAAAAUUUUUCUUAAUUUCUGGGUUUCUGGGUCCAUUAGUUAUAACUAUAACUUACUAUAACUAUAAAGUCUACCUUUGUGCCCUAUUUCAAUAAAAAAAAUGCAAAUCCGCUGUUGCUAUUUUCAUUAAAAAGGUAGAUCUUUAAAUUUAAACAGUCAGUAUACAGCGUGCUCAAAAACUGGCGCACCAACUCAUUGGUGUGUGGUAGAGAACUGGUUACAUAUCAAGGUAAAAAUAGUAAAAAAAUUCUUUGAAUUAAAGUUAUUGAUAAAUAACUAAUUUUAGAUAAAUGAUAUGUGGCAACGUUGUCUAACAGUCAUGAUCGCAAUAGAAUUUGAUCAACAAUAAAAAUAAAUUAUUUUUGAAACGGUUUCCUAGGAAAUAAUUCCCAGUGUUGGCACAUCUACACAUUGUGAUUUUUUGGAUGAAUUUUAAUUUUUUUUAAUUAAAAAAACUGCUAAAAUCUGAUAGUAAAUUUAAAAAUAAUUAUUCAUCGUUUUGUUACGGAACGAUUACCUGGUAUGAAACAUAGAAAUAUAAAAAAAUAAUGAUAACUAAAGAAGUUAACACAAUAAGUUUGUAGCUCAAGAUUUUUUAAAAUAUGACUAGGAAUUUUUUUAACAUUUUUCCCGUGAUCUACACGUGCUUCUCAACAACGUACCACUGCGUUGGUGCGCCAGUUUUUGAGCAGCCUGUAGAUAAAUCUAGAUAAUUCUUUUGUUCUACACACAUUCACUGAAACUUGGUUAGAUAAUAACUUGAUAAUAUCGGGUGAUUCAAAAAUGUGUGGCAUAAUUUUAACCACGAAUACCCCUCUACAAUUAAGAAUAGAUAGGAUAGUAUUUACUGACCCACCACAAAAAAUUGGAAAAUUACAAUUUUUCAAAAAUUGGUAUGGAAAAAUGGUUUUUUGAAAAUAUUUUUGUUACCGUUCAUGCGAUUAUUAUGAAAUUUUGCAUGCCAAGAGACACAAAGACGCCCUUUGAUAUGGUGUAAAUGGAAAUCUUGUAAAAGCUAUACAUUUCCGGUGACAAGGGGGCCCUUCCAGUUUUUAGGUGAUAACUUAAUUUUUCGGCCUAUAAACACGUAUUUUUGAUGUCAAAAAUCAAAAGCCCAAUUAUUUUUUAAUAAAAAAGGUACUCUUGCUUCAUGUCGUCAAACUGUACCGUUCUCGAGUUAUUUGGGAUUAAACUAAACUCUAAAAAAAACGUCUUUUUUAUUGUUGAAUUGGUGGUCAAAAGGGCAUUGUGUGACAAAACCGAUUUCGGGGUGAAAUGGGGCGAAAACUGCAAUAGCGCAUUUGCGGAGCUAUAAAUAUUGAAAUUAGGUGAAAAAGUGGGAAAAAUUAAGAAGCAAUUUGUGAGGGUGUUUAGUGUUUUUUCGGAUUUUUAUUUUAUUAAACGGUUUCAAAGCUGACAACCAAACAUACAUCUACGCAAAUUGAAACGUAUUUUGCUAGUGUGAAACUGGCUUCAUGUUCGGGUUUCUUCGGAAUUUCGAGGAGCUGGUUUGGGGAGCUGUCUUCACACAAAUCUUAUCGCAUUAUAUGCUACUGAACAGGCCCCUGAAAGUGUAUACAAAUUAUGUGUUCACUGUGAGGGGUGGGGCAAAGGGGGGAAACGGCUAACAUAGUUCGUGUGCUCCAGCUUAGAGGUCGCGUCAGUUGCAAAGAAAUCUGUAAAUUUAAAGUAAUCUGUCACACAUUUUGCUAAAAGUAAAGAAGGUUCACUUAAAAAUAAUCGACGUGCGCACACUUCUCUUUUUAAUUCUUUGAUUUAUCAACAGCCGAUUAUUUUGCUGUCGUUGCGGUUUUUGGCGACAUUUUGUUUUAAUGUGUUUUAAAGACUUCAGAAAACGAUUUAACGUGAUUUUUUGGAUGUUUUUGUGAUCAAACAUCUCUACUUUUAUAUGGAUCUUUUAUUUGAAUCUAGUGUAUAGUGUGAAUGACAGUGUUUUAAUGAAGGAUGAAUCAACUUAAGGCAAAUUAAGAUAUUAAUAUAAUCAUAUUACACUAAGAAGGAUCACACAAACUUCUCUAAUAAGGGAAUUUCUUGAUGUUUAGGAGAUGAAGACCGUCCUUGGAGAUGAUAACGGUUCUUGGGAUGUAAUUGAAAAUCCCAUGAAGACGAGUUAAAUAUAAUGUGCAGUAAUUAAUAGGUAUAUCAUAAUAAUAAAUAAAUUUAUUGUAGUUGCGAAGCUAGUAUUUUGUGAAAGCAGGGAGUUUAGGACUUGCAAUGGUUCAAGGUUAUCAAAUUCGCCAUGUCCCUCUAUGUCUUAAUCUUUUAUGUUGUUUUACACAAUGUUAUAACGCCUAUGCCUGUUAAAAAAACAAGGUUUGUCCUUUUUGUGAUUGCUUAAUUUAGAAACUAAGCGAAAAAACGUAUUCUACAAGUAUCAUACAAGUUAAUCAAUAUUAAAGCCUACUAUUAUUAUAAAUUUAAAUGAUUA